RNAcentral lists this ribosomal RNA (253 nucleotides) under uncultured bacterium. RNAcentral's name for it is "partial 16S ribosomal RNA". It matches the Rfam family "Bacterial small subunit ribosomal RNA", at positions 524 to 776 of the family's 1533-position model. The record is from RNAcentral.
UACGUAGGGAGCAAGCGUUGUCCGGAAUCAUUGGGCGUAAAGCGCGCGUAGGCGGCCCCGUAAGUCCGCUGUGAAAGUCAAAGGCUCAACCUUUGAAAGCCGGUGGAUACUGUGGGGCUAGAGUACGGAAGAGGCGAGUGGAAUUCCCGGUGUAGUGGUGGAAUGCGUAGAUAUCGGGAGGAACACCAGUGGCGAAGGCGGUUGCCUGGGGCUUUGCUGACGCUGAUGCGCGAAAGCGUGGGGAGCGAUCCGG